RNAcentral lists this ribosomal RNA (1003 nucleotides) under Bacillus aerius. RNAcentral's name for it is "bacterial SSU rRNA". It matches the Rfam family "Bacterial small subunit ribosomal RNA", at positions 41 to 1034 of the family's 1533-position model. Lineage: Bacteria; Bacillati; Bacillota; Bacilli; Caryophanales; Bacillaceae. The record is from RNAcentral.
GGCGUGCUAUACCUGCAAGUCGAGCGGACAGAAGGGAGCUUGCUCCCGGAUGUAGCGGCGGACGGGUGAGUAACACGUGGGUAACUGCCUGUAAGACUGGGAUAACUCCGGGAAACGGGAGCUAAUACGGGAUAGUUCCCUGAACCGCAUGGUUCAAGGAUGAAAGACGGUUUCGGCUGUCACUUACAGAUGGACCGCGGCGCAUAGCUAGUUGGUGAGGUAACGGCUCACCAAGGCGACGAUGCGUAGCCGACCUGAGAGGGUGAUCGGCCACACUGGGACUGAGACACGGCCCAGACUCCUACGGGAGGCAGCAGUAGGGAAUCUUCCGCAAUGGACGAAAGUCUGACGGAGCAACGCCGCGUGAGUGAUGAAGGUUUCGGAUCGUAAAGCUCUGUUGUUAGGGAAGAACAAGUGCAAGAGUAACUGCUUGCACCUUGACGGUACCUAACCAGAAAGCCACGGCUAACUACGUGCCAGCAGCCGCGGUAAUACGUAGGUGGCAGCGUUGUCCGGAAUUAUUGGGCGUAAAGGGCUCGCAGGCGGUUUCUUAAGUCUGAUGUGAAAGCCCCCGGCUCAACCGGGGAGGGUCAUUGGAAACUGGGAAACUUGAGUGCAGAAGAGGAGAGUGGAAUUCCACGUGUAGCGGUGAAAUGCGUAGAGAUGUGGAGGAACACCAGUGGCGAAGGCGACUCUCUGGUCUGUAACUGACGCUGAGGAGCGAAAGCGUGGGGAGCGAACAGGAUUAGAUACCCUGGUAGUCCACGCCGUAAACGAUGAGUGCUAAGUGUUAGGGGGUUUCCGCCCCUUAGUGCUGCAGCUAACGCAUUAAGCACUCCGCCUGGGGAGUACGGUCGCAAGACUGAAACUCAAAGGAAUUGACGGGGGCCCGCACAAGCGGUGGAGCAUGUGGUUUAAUUCGAAGCAACGCGAAGAACCUUACCAGGUCUUGACAUCCUCUGACAACCCUAGAGAUAGGGCUUUCCCUUCGGGGACAGAGUGA